UGCAAUGCAUGUACUAACUAAUACUCCAUAUAUAUUUAGUCAAACAUAUUUCGAACACCAAAAUUUAAAUUGUUGCAUGUGGUGAAACAACAUAGCUCCGUGUCAAAAUGCAAAAAACAAAACUAAUUUCAAACAUCAAACUCCAAUAAUGGGAACAAUCCAAAGUUGCCAAGUGUUCAUCUCUUGAUCAAACAGUGUCACCUUCCAUAAGAUUUACAUUGCAAACCUGGUAGACAAAUAAAAGAAAUCAAUAUCACAAGGGAUCAAUCUUCAGAACAAUUAAAUCUUCAUCAUAAAAAACACUUAAAUCUUGUUCGGCUCUAUGGACCACUGUAGUGAAGCGGCAAAUUAUAGAUAAUACAACAACCGUAUCAUUUUUUCUGAUGGAAAAAGACAAACCUAUUAUUAUCAUCAUCCAAAGUGUUUGCAAUGUCAGAUGGUUAAGGACGAACAACAUUACAACAUUGGCAAGCUGACCUCAGGGUGAUCCAUCUUUUUUCAUGCCCAUAUUGGUCAUUUUCACUACACAGGAAGUAUAUUGGAUUCCUUCCCGCAAAAAAAAGUCUAUUGGAUUCCUGAAGAGCAAACACAACAAUUACUUCAUCUUCAUAGGGCCACUGGGUCCUCAAAUAAUACAACUUAUACCCUGGCAUCUUUUCUUUUAUACUCCCUCCAUCUUAAAAUGUAAGACGUUUUUUAACACUAUAAAACAUCUUACAUUUUGACACAGAGGGAGUAAGGGAGUAUCUCUUAUGCAGCUACGCUACCAGUUCAGUCUAACUAAAUCUGGUCAAUUACACAAUAUGUAAAAAUAUGGCAAAAGAGCACAUACCUUCAGAUAUUUGCCAGCCAGCUUCAGCCACUAACCUCACCAAGACUGCUCAUGUGCACCUGCAGCAUUUUUCUAUAUAACAAAAAGUUUUAGAAGACCAUGAGAUUAGGCAUUUCAACCAAUUCACUUAGAAACACAGUGAGUUUGUAGCUAAUAUAGCUUGAUGGAUUUGUGCAGCCAGUAUCGAUGGCACGCCUUGUACUAUGCCUAAGAAAAUAACCACAAAACAUCUAAUUAUGCCUUUUUUAGAAAAGGAGGAUGACCCCCGGCCUGCAUCUAGGAGCUACAUGCAACCACUUUAUUAACUAUUCACAAAGAACUUACAAAGUAAUACAUCAAUAUGUUUGAAGCCGCCAUCUUGGCAACAUCCGUUGCUACUCCUAUCCAUUGAUGAAGGGGUGCAGAAAGUAUGGGCUGAAUACCUAGACCUCUCACCUAAGCCUAACAUCUAAAGCUGGAGGCCCCAACUAAGCCACAUACCAGGUCUGGGGCAUAAACCGGUCCGACGCACUCAUAGGUCGUCGCCGCCGUCUUCCAUCGAUCCAUCUUCAAAGGUGAUACUGACGCAUCGACCUUGCCAGGCCUGCUGUUGACGCCAACAUGGCGCCAGACAAAACCUCCUCCCUACACGCAUCCAUCAUCACACAUCCGUCGCCGAGGCCCUGCCACGCCACGCCACCGAGACUCCACGUCGUCGAUGUGUCACAUGGAACACCAUUCCACCGCAGAUGUCGUCCACUGGUCCCUCGAGCCUAUGCAUACCUCCAAGAUUGACGUCCCCAAGAGGGAUAUGGCACAAGAGUGUUGACGUCAUCCAAUCGACCGAUCUAGGGUUUCCCUCGGAGGUGGCGGAUAGGGGUCUAGAGCUUCUCCACUAUGAUGCCUUCAAGAAAGGGACGACGCAGAAAACGUCACCAUCGUCGGUUUUGGCAACGAGCGAAGAUUAGGGUUUUCACCCGGAUCCACUCGAGGAACCUCCAUCCAGCCUUGUGUGCACGGGACCACCAUCACCACCGCCGCGCAUGGAGCAGGCCGCACAGGCCAGAUCAGAUCUGACUGGAGGCCAAACCACACAUAUAGUCGUUCCAUCCACCAGGCCCUCCAUGCCGCUGCCAAUUCGAGAUCCGACUGGCAGUAGAGCCGCCCACCGCCUCUGCGAGGCAGGGCUGGCCGCCGUGUCGCAAGACCCAACCAGUCGCGCCUCCACAUGUUGGGGGGCCCACCCCACCCCAAGCCGCGAGAGAGAAGGAGACCCCCGUCACCGCCAUCUGCCCCCGGGCUUAGCCGGCAGCGUCACGCGGCGGUGAUGGGAGGAGAGGAGGGAGUAGAUCAGGGCUCAGUGGCGGCUAGGAUAGCGGCCAGCCCGAGUCGCUCGAUGCGGGAGCGACGCGGGGGGAGCGAGAUGUUUUGGUCAUCUAAUUAUGCCUAGUCAAGAUCCAACUCAUACGUAAAGAUUCAGCUUGAAUUCUCAAAUGAGAACACGAAUGUGAAUUAUGGGCAGAUGAACCAUGCAAGAUCACGGUACACUAUAGAAACUUGAUCCGAUCGAAAUAAUUAAAAGCAACUCAAACCCUGUAUGGAGGAAACUAAAAAGAAAAUAUGAGGGAAAUAAGUGAACAUAGAGAUUUGGAGAGCUUAGUUCUAAAAUCUUGCGAGAUAAUUUAUGAAGACACAAUAAUCUAUGUCAGUGCAAUCCUGCUCAAAAAUAUUUUUUUUUUGCAAAUAUUCAUGUAUAAAUAGAAGUUUUGAAAACCGUAAAACCAUAUGACAGACGAACUGUACCAAGACUAAGCCAAUUAACUAUUUUUCAUCAUCAUCACUCCAAAAGCCUCGGUUCUUUCCACUUUCCUUAGUUCUUGUGAAUUUAUGAUCAAUGCAUAAUGAGAUAGAUGAUCAUAAUUUGGUGCACAUAAUAAUUCUACCAUGAUAUAAUAAAAACAAUACCCCAGCAUGAAGCUAACCUUAUCGUGGUCAUGUCACUUGCCCACCAGUUGUAGCCUCAUUCUUUUCCUGUAGCUAAAAUCCUGGCCUCCAAGUCCACUACAUGUUUGCA
This 2885-nucleotide long non-coding RNA is filed under the name Triticum aestivum (bread wheat). RNAcentral describes it as "long non-coding RNA (TAES_LNC007554)". The record is from RNAcentral. Lineage: Eukaryota; Viridiplantae; Streptophyta; Magnoliopsida; Poales; Poaceae.